This 477-nucleotide ribosomal RNA is filed under the name Meyerozyma guilliermondii. Its description in RNAcentral is "eukaryotic LSU rRNA". The stretch from base 129 to 282 matches the Rfam family "5.8S ribosomal RNA". Lineage: Eukaryota; Fungi; Ascomycota; Pichiomycetes; Serinales; Debaryomycetaceae. The record is from RNAcentral.
UUACACACAGUGUCUUUUUGAUACAGAACUCUUGCUUUGGUUUGGCCUAGAGAUAGGUUGGGCCAGAGGUUUAACAAAACACAAUUUAAUUAUUUUUACAGUUAGUCAAAUUUUGAAUUAAUCUUCAAAACUUUCAACAACGGAUCUCUUGGUUCUCGCAUCGAUGAAGAACGCAGCGAAAUGCGAUAAGUAAUAUGAAUUGCAGAUUUUCGUGAAUCAUCGAAUCUUUGAACGCACAUUGCGCCCUCUGGUAUUCCAGAGGGCAUGCCUGUUUGAGCGUCAUUUCUCUCUCAAACCCCCGGGUUUGGUAUUGAGUGAUACUCUUAGUCGGACUAGGCGUUUGCUUGAAAAGUAUUGGCAUGGGUAGUACUAGAUAGUGCUGUCGACCUCUCAAUGUAUUAGGUUUAUCCAACUCGUUGAAUGGUGUGGCGGGAUAUUUCUGGUAUUGUUGGCCCGGCCUUACAACAACCAAACAAG